RNAcentral lists this ribosomal RNA (284 nucleotides) under Heterospilus sp. MAS-2010. RNAcentral's name for it is "partial 28S ribosomal RNA". The record is from RNAcentral. Lineage: Eukaryota; Metazoa; Arthropoda; Insecta; Hymenoptera; Braconidae.
GUAUAUGUAUGAGUUAUGAUGCGAGUUACUANUUAUUGUAUUGCUUGUACAUACUUAUACAUUUAUUUGCAAGAUGUUGUCGGCGUGCACUUCUCCCCUAGUAGAACGUCGCGACCCGUUGGGUGUCGGUCUACGACCCGAGUNGGUAGACUUNUAAUAUUUUNCUAAUAUUGAAGACCCUUGGUGUUUUCUGACCGGCUGCCCGGCGGUACUCGUACGGUAUUUAGCCGCAAUUUNUNUUGCGUCCAUGUCCAUCGCAAGCGAGGCUAAUUUCUGAUAGUACG